CUGACGGUUCACGCCGCGUGAGUGAUGAAGGCUUCGGAUCGUAAAACUCUGUUGUUAGGGAAGAACAGUUGGGUAGUAACUGACCCAACCUUGACGGUACCUAACCAGAAAGCCACGGCUAACUACGUGCCAGCAGCCGCGGUAAUACGUAGGUGGCAAGCGUUGUCCGGAAUUAUUGGGCGUAAAGCGCUCGCAGGCGGUCCUUUAAGUCUGAUGUGAAAUCUCGCGGCUCAACCGCGAACGGUCAUUGGAAACUGGAGGACUUGAGUACAGAAGAGGAGAGUGGAAUUCCACGUGUAGCGGUGAAAUGCGUAGAGAUGUGGAGGAACACCAGUGGCGAAGGCAACUCUCUGGUCUGUAACUGACGCUGAGGAGCGAAAGCGUGGGGAGCGAACAGGAUUAGAUACCCUGGUAGUCCACGCCGUAAACGAUGAGUGCUAGGUGUUAGGGGGUUUCCGCCCCUUAGUGCUGAAGUUAACGCAUUAAGCACUCCGCCUGGGGAGUACGGCCGCAAGGCUGAAACUCAAAGGAAUUGACGGGGUGCCGCACAAGCGGUGGAGCAUGUGGUAUAAUUCGAAGCAACGCGAAGAACCUUACCAGGUCUUGACAUCUUCGGGA
Molecule: ribosomal RNA, 618 nt
Filed under: uncultured bacterium
Lineage: Bacteria
Description: bacterial SSU rRNA
Rfam family: Bacterial small subunit ribosomal RNA
Source: RNAcentral